GUAUAUUGAUUUGUUCAGGUC
Molecule: non-coding RNA, 21 nt
Filed under: Arabidopsis thaliana (thale cress)
Lineage: Eukaryota; Viridiplantae; Streptophyta; Magnoliopsida; Brassicales; Brassicaceae
Source: RNAcentral